This is a long non-coding RNA of Cephus cinctus (wheat stem sawfly), 983 nucleotides long. RefSeq lists it as uncharacterized. Lineage: Eukaryota; Metazoa; Arthropoda; Insecta; Hymenoptera; Cephidae. The record is from RefSeq and is a predicted model, not a curated record. The transcript has 3 exons.
GUUACGCGUAGUGUUCGCUGUGCUCGGGUCUGUCGCCUCACGUUUUCGAAAUCCCUUUGUUUAACCGUGCUGUUGACGUGUGGUGGAAGCCCUUCGUACAAUAACGUUUCUGUCUCUUCUUUGUACAGUGUUUGGCCAUUGUGUACUGUCUUACCGAGCUUGUGAAUAAACUGUGAACGUUUAAGGUUAAGGAUCGUUCACUUUGGAAAUCGUCAUUUUACCGAGGUGGAUAUUUGUAUACGUUAACGAAUUACCAGAUUCUUUGCAAUUGCGUGGAAUAAUCCGGAAUGCAAGAGGAUUGUUCCCAACGGGACAGAGGACUAUUGAGUCCCAGCCGUUUUCAGGGGAAUCUGUGAGAGGAAGAAGGGCAGACCAACUAGUAGUAAUACUGCAACUAGGCAAACAGCAAGGUGCGCGAGAUGACUUGCAGAGUGGAGCACCGACUGCGACAAGAUGCUGGCCCGACGCAGCAUCAUCCUUCUUGUCGUACGACCCUGAUCGGAUGGACCAGUCAGAUUUUGAUCAUAACCGACGAAUCGAGCGGGUUGGUAUGACGUAGGGCGCGGAAGUCCGUAUCAGUGAAGUAUCAGGAUCCCAAUGCUGACAGACCUAUUCAGGGGGGGAACCCCCGGGAUGGUCCUGGUCGUUCAUCCCUGAUCGGAUGGACCGAGGAAGUUCGAGAGGAGAAAUUAGGGUACCCCCAGCUCCCAUUUAACUCCCGGAACGAUAAAAACUGUAGGAGAUCGUGCUCUGGUAGGGUACAAGGAUCCUGACCACAGGGGCUAAAUUCGAUAGUUUAGUAAAUGGUGGGAACAGCAUGAAUAGUAGUACAACGGGUGGCGCAUAUUAAUAUACCCAGAUACGGUUAACCCCAGCAAAUACUCCGCACCAUGCUGCAUGUUAAUCGGGCAUUGGAAACUUAAGGUAGCUGCGACAGGAAAAGGGCCCAAGUGCCGUUCCGAAGCACACAGAAAGAAGGAUUA